This 22-nucleotide non-coding RNA is filed under the name Rattus norvegicus (Norway rat). Lineage: Eukaryota; Metazoa; Chordata; Mammalia; Rodentia; Muridae. The record is from RNAcentral.
UCAUCGCCAUGCUCACCCUCAA